GCAGUCGAACGCGUUGGCCCAAUUGAUUGAUGGUGCUUGCACCUGAUUGAUUUUGGUCGCCAACGAGUGGCGGACGGGUGAGUAACACGUAGGUAACCUGCCCAGAAGCGGGGGACAACAUUUGGAAACAGAUGCUAAUACCGCAUAACAGCGUUGUUCGCAUGAACAACGCUUAAAAGAUGGCUUCUCGCUAUCACUUCUGGAUGGACCUGCGGUGCAUUAGCUUGUUGGUGGGGUAACGGCCUACCAAGGCGAUGAUGCAUAGCCGAGUUGAGAGACUGAUCGGCCACAAUGGGACUGAGACACGGCCCAUACUCCUACGGGAGGCAGCAGUAGGGAAUCUUCCACAAUGGGCGCAAGCCUGAUGGAGCAACMCCGCGUGAGUGAAGAAGGGUUUCGGCUCGUAAAGCUCUGUUGUUAAAGAAGAACACGUAUGAGAGUAACUGUUCAUACGUUGACGGUAUUUAACCAGAAAGUCACGGCUAACUACGUGCCAGCAGCCGCGGUAAUACGUAGGUGGCAAGCGUUAUCCGGAUUUAUUGGGCGUAAAGAGAGUGCAGGCGGUUUUCUAAGUCUGAUGUGAAAGCCUUCGGCUUAACCGGAGAAGUGCAUCGGAAACUGGAUAACUUGAGUGCAGAAGAGGGUAGUGGAACUCCAUGUGUAGCGGUGGAAUGCGUAGAUAUAUGGAAGAACACCAGUGGCGAAGGCGGCUACCUGGUCUGCAACUGACGCUGAGACUCGAAAGCAUGGGUAGCGAACAGGAUUAGAUACCCUGGUAGUCCAUGCCGUAAACGAUGAGUGCUAGGUGUUGGAGGGUUUCCGCCCUUCAGUGCCGGAGCUAACGCAUUAAGCACUCCGCCUGGGGAGUACGACCGCAAGGUUGAAACUCAAAGGAAUUGACGGGGGCCCGCACAAGCGGUGGAGCAUGUGGUUUAAUUCGAAGCUACGCGAAGAACCUUACCAGGUCUUGACAUCUUGCGCCAACCCUAGAGAUAGGGCGUUUCCUUCGGGAACGCAAUGACAGGUGGUGCAUGGUCGUCGUCAGCUCGUGUCGUGAGAUGUUGGGUUAAGUCCCGCAACGAGCGCAACCCUUGUUACUAGUUGCCAGCAUUAAGUUGGGCACUCUAGUGAGACUGCCGGUGACAAACCGGAGGAAGGUGGGGACGACGUCAGAUCAUCAUGCCCCUUAUGACCUGGGCUACACACGUGCUACAAUGGACGGUACAACGAGUCGCGAACUCGCGAGGGCAAGCAAAUCUCUUAAAACCGUUCUCAGUUCGGACUGCAGGCUGCAACUCGCCUGCACGAAGUCGGAAUCGCU
This 1321-nucleotide ribosomal RNA is filed under the name Limosilactobacillus fermentum. Its description in RNAcentral is "bacterial SSU rRNA". It matches the Rfam family "Bacterial small subunit ribosomal RNA", at positions 57 to 1336 of the family's 1533-position model. Lineage: Bacteria; Bacillati; Bacillota; Bacilli; Lactobacillales; Lactobacillaceae. The record is from RNAcentral.